This 77-nucleotide transfer RNA is filed under the name delta proteobacterium MLS_D. Its description in RNAcentral is "tRNA-Pro". It matches the Rfam family "tRNA". Rfam says of the family: Transfer RNA (tRNA) molecules are approximately 80 nucleotides in length. Their secondary structure includes four short double-helical elements and three loops (D, anti-codon, and T loops). The record is from RNAcentral. Lineage: Bacteria; Deltaproteobacteria.
CGGGGCGUGGCGCAGCCUGGUAGCGCACCUGCUUUGGGAGCAGGGAGUCGGGGGUUCAAAUCCCUCCGCCCCGACCA